RNAcentral lists this ribosomal RNA (579 nucleotides) under uncultured bacterium. RNAcentral's name for it is "partial 16S ribosomal RNA". It matches the Rfam family "Bacterial small subunit ribosomal RNA", at positions 355 to 926 of the family's 1533-position model. The record is from RNAcentral.
UGGGGAAUUUUGGACAAUGGGGGAAACCCUGAUCCAGCCAUCCCGCGUGUGCGAUGAAGGCCUUCGGGUUGUAAAGCACUUUUGGCAGGAAAGAAACGUCGCGGGUUAAUACCCCGCGAAACUGACGGUACCUGCAGAAUAAGCACCGGCUAACUACGUGCCAGCAGCCGCGGUAAUACGUAGGGUGCAAGCGUUAAUCGGAAUUACUGGGCGUAAAGCGUGCGCAGGCGGUUCGGAAAGAAAGAUGUGAAAUCCCAGAGCUUAACUUUGGAACUGCAUUUUUAACUACCGGGCUAGAGUGUGUCAGAGGGAGGUGGAAUUCCGCGUGUAGCAGUGAAAUGCGUAGAUAUGCGGAGGAACACCGAUGGCGAAGGCAGCCUCCUGGGAUAACACUGACGCUCAUGCACGAAAGCGUGGGGAGCAAACAGGAUUAGAUACCCUGGUAGUCCACGCCCCAAACGAUGUCAACUAGCUGUUGGGGCCUUCGGGCCUUGGUAGCGCAGCUAACGCGUGAAGUUGACCGCCCUGGGGAGUACGGUCGCAAGAUUAAAACUUAAAUGAAUUGACGGGGUCAUAGCU